AACGAACGCUGGCGGCAGGCUUAACACAUGCAAGUCGAGCGCGUAGCAAUACGAGCGGCAGACGGGUGAGUAACGCGUGGGGAUGUGCCUGGUGGUACGGAACAACUCAGGGAAACUUGAGCUAAUACCGUAUAAGCCCUUGGGGGGAAAGAUUUAUCGCCACCAGAUCAACCCGCGUUGGAUUAGCUAGUUGGUGAGGUAACGGCUCACCAAGGCGACGAUCCAUAGCUGGUCUGAGAGGAUGAUCAGCCACACUGGGACUGAGACACGGCCCAGACUCCUACGGGAGGCAGCAGUGGGGAAUAUUGGACAAUGGGCGCAAGCCUGAUCCAGCCAUGCCGCGUGAGUGAUGAAGGCCUUAGGGUUGUAAAGCUCUUUCACUGGGGAAGAUAAUGACGGUACCCAGAGAAGAAGCCCCGGCUAACUUCGUGCCAGCCGCCGCCGUAACAC
RNAcentral lists this ribosomal RNA (450 nucleotides) under uncultured bacterium. RNAcentral's name for it is "bacterial SSU rRNA". It matches the Rfam family "Bacterial small subunit ribosomal RNA", at positions 29 to 526 of the family's 1533-position model. The record is from RNAcentral.